RNAcentral lists this unclassified non-coding RNA (276 nucleotides) under uncultured fungus. RNAcentral's name for it is "sequence contains ITS1, 5.8S rRNA gene". The stretch from base 228 to 276 matches the Rfam family "5.8S ribosomal RNA", at positions 1 to 49 of the family's 154-position model. Lineage: Eukaryota; Fungi. The record is from RNAcentral.
UUUCCGUAGGUGAACCUGCGGAAGGAUCAUUAGCACGUUGGUGUUGAAGUUGUGUUGGGAAGGUGUGGUGGGGUUGUGGGAUGACAAAUUGUUGAAUCUGUUAAGGAUGAUACGGUUUGCUUGUUCUGCACCCCCACACACCCACUGAAAACCCUUAUUCCUUUGAAUUGUCCUUGUGAUUCGAAUCUGUCGAGGGUAACCUCUACAACCAUACGAAACGCACAAACGACUCUGUACAAUGGAUAUCUUGGUUCUCGCAUCGAUGAAGAACGCAGC